RNAcentral lists this ribosomal RNA (400 nucleotides) under uncultured bacterium. RNAcentral's name for it is "bacterial SSU rRNA". It matches the Rfam family "Bacterial small subunit ribosomal RNA", at positions 30 to 426 of the family's 1533-position model. The record is from RNAcentral.
AUUGAACGCUGGCGGCAUGCCUUACACAUGCAAGUCGAACGGCAGCAUGGAGGAGCUUGCUCCUCUGAUGGCGAGUGGCGAACGGGUGAGUAAAGCAUCGGAACGUACCGUGUAGUGGGGAUAACGUAGCGAAAGUUACGCUAAUACCGCAUACGCACUGAGGUGGAAAAGCAGGGGAUCGCAAGACCUUGCGCUAUACGAGCGGCCGAUGUCAGAUUAGCUAGUUGGUAGGGUAAAGGCCUACCAAGGCGACGAUCUGUAGCGGGUCUGAGAGGAUGAUCCGCCACACUGGGACUGAGACACGGCCCAGACUCCUACGGGAGGCAGCAGUGGGGAAUUUUGGACAAUGGGGGAAACCCUGAUCCAGCCAUGCCGCGUGAGUGAAGAAGGCCUCGGUUGU